UACGGAGGGUGCAAGCGUUGCUCGGAAUUACUGGGCGUAAAGCGCGUGUAGGCGGUCUCGUGUGUCUGGCGUGAAAGCCCCGGGCUCACCCCGGGAAGUGCGUUGGAAACUGCGAGACUAGAGUUCCGGAGAGGAAGGUGGAAUUCCAGGGGUAGCUGUGAAAUGCGUAGAUAUCUGGAAGAACACCGGUGGCGAAGGCGGCCUUCUGGACGGUGACUGACGCUGAGUCGCGACAGCGUGGGGAGCUACCAGG
This 253-nucleotide ribosomal RNA is filed under the name uncultured bacterium. RNAcentral's name for it is "partial 16S ribosomal RNA". It matches the Rfam family "Bacterial small subunit ribosomal RNA", at positions 524 to 776 of the family's 1533-position model. The record is from RNAcentral.